UAAAUUACCAUUGCAAGAUUAUGGCUUGUGCAAUUUGGGCAAUAUGGACAACAAGAAAUAAACCAAUUCAUGAAUGGAACAGACGAACAAUUCAAGACACAACCCAUUUGAUCAUUUCAUAUAUUCGAGAAUUAGAUGCAAUCAACCAAAAAUUGCUUGCUAGGAGGGUGGAGACUGAACAAUAGAGGCCGUCAGAGAUUCUUUUUGCAAAGAUUAAUUAUGAUGUUACUUUUUAAAACCAUACAAAUAGGUCAUGUACGGAUAUUGUGGUUAAAAACUUGAAUGGUUUGGUGUUAGGAUCCAGAAUGAUACUAAAUAAUCACAUACCUGCGACUUUUGCUGUGAGGCUUUUGCAUGCUUCCAAGCAGUUCAAAUGGGUCUUGAUUUGGGUUUCCCGAAGGUGGAGAUUGAAGGAGAUGCACUCAAAGUGGUGAAAAAGCUUCAUGCAAAUAGACAUGCACCGAGACAGGGGAACGGAGUAGCACAUCUCUUAGCUACAGAAGGAAUAAGGAGAGGAGAAACAACUUAUUAGUUAGAAGAAAUGCCUCUGUUUGUUACUGAUGCAGUGCAGAGAGACCGAUGGUUGACAGACGUGCUAGAUUAUACUGUGAUUUCGUUGGUUGCUUGAAGAUAGUCCCUAAAAUCUGCUUAAUCUUAAGGGACGAUGAUGAUUCAGACAAACUGCUAUUUUCAUUGCUUUCUAUGCUUCGAAAGGAACUUUAGAACUCAUUUAUUUUGGUUGGGUUUCUUUUAAUUAGGAUUGGGGAAUAUUUCAUUUUUUGUGUACUUUUCUAUAUUUGUCUUAUUGUUUGAAAAUUUGUUCUCUUAUUUAAUAACAAAAUUAA
This is a long non-coding RNA of Gossypium arboreum, 845 nucleotides long. RefSeq lists it as uncharacterized. The record is from RefSeq and is a predicted model, not a curated record. NCBI's taxonomy places the organism in Eukaryota, Viridiplantae, Streptophyta, Magnoliopsida, Malvales, Malvaceae. The transcript has 2 exons.